RNAcentral lists this ribosomal RNA (502 nucleotides) under uncultured Glomeromycotina. Its description in RNAcentral is "partial small subunit ribosomal RNA". It matches the Rfam family "Eukaryotic small subunit ribosomal RNA", at positions 591 to 1092 of the family's 1831-position model. Lineage: Eukaryota; Fungi; Glomeromycota. The record is from RNAcentral.
CCAAUAGCGUAUAUUAAAGUUGUUGCAGUUAAAAAGCUCGUAGUUGAAUUUCGGGAUUUGUCAGUUGGUCGGGCUUCACUGUCCGUAUUGACUUGAUGGAUUCUUACCUUCUGAAUAACCAGCAUGCUAUUAAGUUAGUGCGUUGGGGAAGCAGAUCUAUUACCUUGAAAAAAUUAGAGUGCUUAAAGCGAGCUAGUGCUUGAAUAGAUUAGCAUGGAAUAAUAAAAUAGGACGGCAUGGUUCUAUUUUGUUGGUUUCUAGGAUCACCGUAAUGAUUAAUAGGGAUAGUUGGGGGCAUUAGUAUUCAAUUGUCAGAGGUGAAAUGCUUGGAUUUAUUGAAGACUAACUUCUGCGAAAGCAUUUGCCAAGGAUGUUUUCAUUAAUCAAGAACGAAAGUUAGGGGAUCGAAGACGAUCAGAUACCGUCGUAGUCUUAACCAUAAACUAUGCCGACUAGGAAUCGGACGAUGUUAAUUUUUUAAUGACUCGUUCGGCACCUUACG